Long non-coding RNA from Clupea harengus (Atlantic herring), 881 nucleotides. NCBI's taxonomy places the organism in Eukaryota, Metazoa, Chordata, Actinopteri, Clupeiformes, Clupeidae. The record is from Ensembl.
AAGAGAGUGGAGGUCAGUAAUCUCUGGGGAGAUGAAUGAUGGAGGCAACAACGGUAACGGAAUGUUCAGGACACCAGUUAAACCGCAGCAGAGUAACUCAUCCAGUCUUAAAGGAACAGAGCCACAUUCCUGGCAAUCUACUUAUGUGGAAUAUUCAUAAUGAAUGCAGGACUAAAGAGUUGCUCAAGCAGAAGAGGCCAGACAAUCCUGAACAUCUGCCAUAAUGUUGCAACCUUCACACAUUGCAUAUUUCUGUGAAGGGGAAGAGUGAUAUUACUAACACACACUCAAAUUGUUGGGGUGGAUUUGAUAAACAUGAAGCUGUUACACUUUAAUUUCAAACAGCAUUUGGGGUAGUAUUCUUCAUACAUUUAACUGAGAACUUGAGAAUGGGUAAUCAGUUCCUUGUUAAUUCUUUCUUUAAUACUAGGCAUGAUUCUUUAAGCGUGAUUUCUGUGGAGAGAGCAGAGUCCCUCUACACUUUUGAACUCAGUGUUAUGCUUUAAAACUCCUAUGCAGUGAGGAAUGCCUACAUUGUUUCCAUUUCCUGACAUUGUGCACUCUCCUCGGUCAAGCACUGGAAAAAGUCUGUCACCUAAAUUCCAUAAAACACGUUGAAGAACGGAUUCUUACCAAGCAUUCAGGUCCAAUUCUCUUAUUAAAUCAUUUCACAGAAAGAUUAUAAAAAAAAUACCAAUACAACACACGAGUGAUCGGUUUAAAAAAAAGCAAUUCAAUAAAAUCCCUUACAGUUCAAUCAUUGUAUCCUUGUGAAAGACCAUGUUCUAAAAUCUGUGGUUGGCUUUUGCCAUAGAGAAGGGCUUGAGGGCUUGCCAAGUAGCCUCAGACUUGUUAGGGCUAAUACAUCUUUAAGCCUUGCC